This 73-nucleotide transfer RNA is filed under the name marine sediment metagenome. RNAcentral's name for it is "tRNA-Met". It matches the Rfam family "tRNA". From Rfam's summary of the family: Transfer RNA (tRNA) molecules are approximately 80 nucleotides in length. Their secondary structure includes four short double-helical elements and three loops (D, anti-codon, and T loops). Further hydrogen bonds mediate the characteristic L-shaped molecular structure. tRNAs have two regions of fundamental functional importance: the anti-codon, which is responsible for specific mRNA codon recognition, and the 3' end, to which the tRNAs corresponding amino acid is attached (by aminoacyl-tRNA synthetases). tRNAs cope with the degeneracy of the genetic code in two manners: having more than one tRNA (with a specific anti-codon) for a particular amino acid; and 'wobble' base-pairing, i.e. permitting non-standard base-pairing at the 3rd anti-codon position. The record is from RNAcentral.
CGCAGGGUGGAGCAACGGUUGGCUCGUCGGCCUCAUAAGCCGGAGAUAGUUGGUUCGACUCCAACCCCUGCAA